Molecule: non-coding RNA, 331 nt
Organism: Schizosaccharomyces pombe (fission yeast)
Lineage: Eukaryota; Fungi; Ascomycota; Schizosaccharomycetes; Schizosaccharomycetales; Schizosaccharomycetaceae
Source: the annotation of a GenBank genome assembly
UGGUACAAGAGAAGUGAAGGGUUACGUAGUAAGCAUAAAUAAUAUUUUGUAGUCAUAUGGAUUUGAACAUGAAAUUAGCGAUUCUUCAGUAAUUGGAUAUUUACACAAACGGCUGAAAUGGAUACUACUUUUUUUUAUAUCGCAUCUGAAUCUAUUUGUCAAAAUUAUUAAAAGAAAGAAUGACUAUUAAUUAGAUAGAAGAAGUCUGCCUCUUUACCUUACAUUGAAGGCUGUUUAAACGAGUGUUUGGAUUAGUUAAUAGCGAACUAAGUAUAAUCGUUGACUUUGAUGAGUCAGACAAAGAAUGUGUUAGAAAGCGGUUUUGGCAUAA